AGCAGCCGCGGUAAUUCCAGCUCCAAUAGCGUAUAUUAAAGUUGUUGCAGUUAAAAGCUCGUAGUUGAAUUUCGGGAUCAAUAUAUUGGUCAUGCUUAGGUAUGUACUGGUAUUAUUGAUUUCUCCCUUCUGAAGAACCAUGAUGUCAUUAAUUUGAUGUCGUGGGGAAUCAGGACUGUUUGAAAAAUUGAGUGUUUAAAGCAGGCUUUCGCUUGAAUACAUUAGUAUGGAAUAAUGAAAUAGGACGUUUGAUUCUAUUUUGUUGGUUUCUAGGAUCGACACAAUGAUUAAUAGGGAUAGUUGGGGGCAUUAGUAUUCAAUUGUCAGAGGUGAAAUUCUUGGAUUUAUUGAAGACUAACUACUGCGAAAGCAUUUGCCAAGGAUGUUUUCAUUAAUCAAGAACGAAAGUUAGGGAUCAAAGACGAUCA
This 428-nucleotide ribosomal RNA is filed under the name uncultured Glomeromycotina. RNAcentral describes it as "SSU rRNA". It matches the Rfam family "Eukaryotic small subunit ribosomal RNA", at positions 569 to 1010 of the family's 1831-position model. The record is from RNAcentral. Lineage: Eukaryota; Fungi; Glomeromycota.